RNAcentral lists this ribosomal RNA (439 nucleotides) under uncultured bacterium. Its description in RNAcentral is "partial 16S ribosomal RNA". It matches the Rfam family "Bacterial small subunit ribosomal RNA", at positions 30 to 507 of the family's 1533-position model. The record is from RNAcentral.
AGCGAACGCUGGCGGCAGGCCUAACACAUGCAAGUCGAACGAACCUUUCGGGGUUAGUGGCGGACGGGUGAGUAACACGUGGGAACGUGCCUUUAGGUUCGGAAUAACUCAGGGAAACUUGUGCUAAUACCGAAUGUGCCCUUCGGGGGAAAGAUUUAUCGCCUUUAGAGCGGCCCGCGUCUGAUUAGCUAGUUGGUUGAGGUAAUGGCUCACCAAGGCGACGAUCAGUAGCUGGUCUGAGAGGAUGAUCAGCCACAUGGGGACUGAGACACGGCCCAGACGGGUAAGGGAGGCAGCAGGCGGGGAGAUAGAAAAAUGGGAGGAAGGAUUAUGGAGCAACGCCGCGUGCGGGAGAACGGACUUCGGGGGGUAAACCGAUGGCGCCGGUGAAGUGGCGGGAGGGACGGGAAUGGGUAAAGAAGCCCAGGCUAACUACGUG